Molecule: long non-coding RNA, 992 nt
Organism: Canis lupus familiaris (dog)
Lineage: Eukaryota; Metazoa; Chordata; Mammalia; Carnivora; Canidae
Exons: 3
Source: RefSeq, a predicted model, not a curated record
ACCACGAACUCACAACAAUAAAGCUCCACAGAUUUCAGAGCCACCGUCGGAUCCCUGGCUUCGUCCCCCCAUUACAAAGCCCCACUCUCUCAAUGAACUACAGGGAGUCACCGCUUCAUGCCACGACUCCUAAUAAUUGCCAAACCCAAGCUGUGAUGGACAGCAAGGGGAAAAGCUCACGACAGAGCAUCCCCAGCUGAGCAAAACCUGCUACCCUGGACACAGUUUGCUUCUGAGAACAAUCAGAAAGACCAGGUUAUGGCUGGGAGACACAAUUUUGCAGAGAGUUAAUGAGCUAAACACUUCAUGGUGUGGGAGAUGCCAGUCGAUGCCACGGUGCGAGAGUUGCUGACUGUAACGUUAUUCUUCCUUCGACAAAUAUCCAGACGCUGGGUCUGUGGAUUCACCGUGCAUUUCUACGCGAUCUGGUUGUGUCAUUUAUAUUUUCUCUAACCCGCCCACCACCCUCUCCGAACGUGACGCUCCCUUGUACCGGUUGAACUCGGCCCCGUAUGAGGCCCCUUCCUCUCUCUCGGGACGCAGACAAGACAAAAACGGUCUCCGCCGCCAUCAAACCUGUCCCCAGGCCUGUGUGAGAACCUGCACCUGCCCAGCCGCGAAAUGGAGGUGUUACCUUGGAGCCAGUUUAACAUAACGUCCCUCACCUGUCGCAGCUGCCCCACCGCACAGCCCGCUCGCCUGCACUCCCGGCUCGACCCAGAGAGAGAGCGGAGGCCUCAUACCCGGGACACGAACUCCUCCAAGGCACCAGAAAUUACUCAUCCAGCCCCUGGUUAAAUAUUUCUGGGUAGUUUCUCAGAAAUCACAUGUGAGAUAUGCAAUUUGUAAAAAGUCUUCUUGUGUUGAGGCCAAGUCUUCUAACCGUUGUCCGCCGGCCCUAAUCUUAUUUUUCAGAAUUAACCGAAUAACCCUUACUCGGAAGCAGACGUUGAGUAAGGAUUUUUGUGCUGGUGAUUUAUGACGGCGAUGCU